Spinacia oleracea (spinach) is the source of this 439-nucleotide long non-coding RNA. RefSeq lists it as uncharacterized. The transcript has 3 exons. Lineage: Eukaryota; Viridiplantae; Streptophyta; Magnoliopsida; Caryophyllales; Amaranthaceae. The record is from RefSeq and is a predicted model, not a curated record.
UAAUUAACUAGUGUCUUAAUUACCUCUUUCAGAAUUUAGAACUUGAGUCUGAACCAGAAUAGUUGGCAGCCAUGAAUACCUAGAAUGAAAUGCUACAUGGGACAGAUCUUUAUGUAUGUUUUUUGGAUAUUGAACAAACAGAUGGGCGUCCAAGGUUCCUGUGAACAGCAACGAGGCAUGCAUUCAUGGAAGAAGGGAAGUGGGGCUUCCAAGCGAUGUUGCUAGGUUGACAAAGAGACUCGCAGCAAAUGCAAGGGCAUAGGAAAGCAGAGGUAAUCGGUUCCUGAACAUGAUUGGUUUAGGUCCUGCAAAGCCUAGUUCAAGGUUUCAUUUGGAUACUCAAGUGACUCAAAUAACUAGCCCGGUGAAUUUCAGUAUCAAUCUCCUGAGUUUGGGUGAGUUUGUUAAAUCCAUUAUUCAUGUUGUCAGUAGAGUUUUU